Zopfochytrium polystomum is the source of this 71-nucleotide non-coding RNA. NCBI's taxonomy places the organism in Eukaryota, Fungi, Chytridiomycota, Chytridiomycetes, Chytridiales, Chytridiaceae. The record is from the annotation of a GenBank genome assembly.
GCCCCAGUCGUCUAAUGGUCAGGACAACACCUUGCACGGUGGGAAUCGGCGUUCAAUUCGUCGUUGGGGCG